AACGAACGCUGGCGGCAGGCUUAAAACAUGCAAGUCGAGCGCCCCGCAAGGGGAGCGGCAGACGGGUGAGUAACGCGUGGGAAUCUACCCAUCUCUACGGAAUAACGCAUGGAAACGUGUGCUGAUACCGUAUACGUCCUUCGGGAGACAGAUUUAUCGGAGAUGGAUGAGCCCGCGUUGGAUUAGAUAGUUGGUGGGGUAAAGGCCUACCAAGGCGACGAUCCAUAGCUGGUCUGAGAGGAUGAUCAGCCACACUGGGACUGAGACACGGCCCAGACUCCUACGGGAGGCAGCAGUGGGGAAUAUUGGACAAUGGGCGCAAGCCUGAUCCAGCCAUGCCGCGUGAGUGAUGAAGGCCCUAGGGUUGUAAAGCUCUUUCACCGGUGAAGAUAAUGACGGUAACCGGAGAAGAAGCCCCGGCUAACUUCGUGCCAGCAGCCGCCGUAA
This 447-nucleotide ribosomal RNA is filed under the name uncultured bacterium. RNAcentral describes it as "partial 16S ribosomal RNA". It matches the Rfam family "Bacterial small subunit ribosomal RNA", at positions 29 to 523 of the family's 1533-position model. The record is from RNAcentral.